Molecule: ribosomal RNA, 378 nt
Filed under: uncultured eukaryote
Lineage: Eukaryota
Description: partial 18S ribosomal RNA
Rfam family: Eukaryotic small subunit ribosomal RNA
Source: RNAcentral
CAAUAGCGUAUAUUUAAGUUGUUGCAGUUAAAAAGCUCGUAGUUGGAUUUCGGAUGGGACUCGCCGGUCCGUCGUUUCGAUGUGCACUGGCCAGUCCUAUCUUGUUGUCGGGGACUAGCUCCUGGGCUUCACUGUCCGGGACUAGGAGCUGACGAGGUUACUUUGAGUAAAUUAGAGUGUUCAAAGCAAGCCUACGCUCUGAAUACAUUAGCAUGGAAUAACACGAUAGGACUCUGGCUUAUCUUGUUGGUCUGUGAGACCAGAGUAAUGAUUAAGAGGGACAGUCGGGGGCAUUCGUAUUUCAUUGUCAGAGGUGAAAUUCUUGGAUUUAUGAAAGACGAACUUCUGCGAAAGCAUUUGUCAAGGAUGUUUUCAUUA